GAGAAGGUGAGAAGAUGUGUUGAAUCCAAUACUGCUUGGCAGACCUACAACUUUACAAAUGACCUGUGUUCCACCUAGAGAGGGUGCCAGCCCUCUCAGCAUUAUGCAGUGCCCCUCCUCUGUCUGCAUCCCCAGGACCACCAUGGGUGGGGAGGGCAGAGAUUGGGGAGCACCUAUAGAGGCUCUAAUGCUCUAAGGUGACAGUGAUGAGGACCUGGGUGCACCCAUGAGUGGAGAAGCUAGGCCUGUCCAGAGAAGCAAGACAAACACACACAUACACACACACACACAGGCACACAUGCAUACACAAAUACAUUGCAUACACACAUGUCAGUUCAGGGGAUAGAGGACACUGACUCUGGGCCCUGUUGACCCAAGCAGACUCCCAUGGUGGUGGGUUGUGUCACCCCACAAUGUCACUGUUGCUGAGUCCCCAUCACCUCUGUGUUGUGGAGCAGUUAGAGACACACAGCAGUGUCUGUGAGUAGCUCUGCGUGAAGGACCAUUUUCUAGAUGAGAGGCACAUCUCAACACAGCUCACUGAUCAGAUUCAGCAAUUCCAUUCUGCAUCUUUUCUGAUCACCUCCGUGACCACACAGGACAACCCCAUCAGGGCCCUGUCACCAGGCCCAGUCUAGCUCCAUGAUAACCAAGACACAGGUCCAGAGACAAUCGUCCUACAUUGUGCCUGCAUCUGACCCCCCUUGGUAGGUAGUGACCAGCACAACAUGGAAGAAGCCAGGGCAGCAUGCAGCCAGCUGCUCUGCAGCCCCAAAUGGCUCCUGGGCCUUGGAAGUCAUUCAUAAAGGGGAAGCUGGUCACUUUGAGGUCCCUGAAGGGAAGGGUGAACGUGCAUCCCAACAGCCCUGGCAGCCAGCAGCAUGCCAUACAUAUUCUCACCCAACGUGUGUGACAGAGGUCCCCUCCUGGGGCACAAGCCCCAUACCUAAAGCAUCCUGUCCCAGUCGGACCUCAUCCUGAGCCCUGGGAGGGGAGGGGCACCAUGGGCCCCCCUGCAGCAGCCAGGAUUACCACCCAGGGGACUCGGCCUUCUGUGGCCCUGGCCAGACUUAGAAUUUGGCCCAAGACAACCUUACUCGGAGCAGCUUCUCAGUACCUGGGGCCUGUGCAUGCCAGGCAAGGCCAAGCUGGCUCAAAGAGCAACCAGCCACCUCUGCAAGGGUGUGCCAGGAGCAGGUGGAGCAGUCACCAACCUCACCCACUCAAGGAAAUAGGGAUGGCCAGUUUCCCACAGUCUGAGUGACCACCACCUGACAGCUGAUGGAGUGGAGGCCUGAGGAAAAGCAGAUGGCACUGGGGCUCCACCUCCAGGGCAGAAUAACUGAUUUACCCUGACUGGCAGGGAGUGACGUUGGUGGCUGGUCCACUGGCUCCUGGCACACCAUUGCAGAGGUGGGUGGUUGCUCUUUGAGCCAGCUUGGCUUUGCCUGGCAUGCACAGGCCUCAGUGCAACAAAUGUGCUGCAAAUGGAGCCACAGAGAGGAAAUGAGCAGCAGGCUCAGAACUGGGGUGUGUGCCGCCUUUGGGGCUCCAGUCCAAGCAUCGGGGCUUCUACAGCACUGUGGGCUUCUCGGGUGCCAAGAGGCAGACCACAGGCCAUCUUGAGGAGGACUCUGGUAAGAGCUUCCUUGUGUAUGUGGAUGAUGUCCAGAAUGUUGGCCUGGUGUCCCUGAGACAGCACUAACAGGUCCAUGACUGGGUCCAGAUCCUGCCUGGGCUGAUGGGCAAAGAGCUCACUGACAGUGUGGAAGCAUCUAUUUUGAAGUAGGAUCUAUGUUCAAGUGCAGAAAGGGCCCAAUCUUGUAGAUGAACCACACAGCCAGCUUCUGGAUGCAGGUGCAGUGCCACAUUGUUUGUCACUUCCUGAUGUGCCCCACCAGCACUGAAGAGAUAGCCUGGAGACAGGGCAAGAGGAAGGCUGAGAAGGAUGAGAUGGUGAGUGCCAGAUUCUUCCUGGCCCUGAGCCCACCCCCAGUGUGACACUCAACUUUUAGGAGUGGGAGAGCAAGAUUGACGGCUUCAAGUGCUUCACCAAGAAGAUGGACAACAGGGCACUCAGCUCAACUUCACAGCCAAUGAGUGGUGGCAGGCUUUGAGAAAGAGCAUCAGAAGCCUGACAGUUCUUCUUCAGCCUCAGCCAGGCCUUGGAGCUGGACCAGGCCAUCCACUUCAGUAUAGAUGCCUUCCACUCUGUCAGUGAGCUCUUUGCCAGUCAGUCCAGGAAGGACCUGGACCCAGCCAUGGACCUGUUAGUGCUGUCUCAGGGACACCAGACCAACACCCUGGACAUCAUCCACAUACACAAGGAAGCUCUUACCAAAGUCAUGGAGAGCAGACAACAUGUGGCAGAAGGGAAGACACAGGUGCAGAAGAAGGUGCAGAGGCUGAUGACGUCAGAAUCACAGGAACAGGAUUUCUUUGGCCACUUUGGCUGAAAUUCACCACUUCCAUCCAAUUCCAGUGAGAGACAUGGACUCACAGAUGCAGCAUUUCUUGCAACAAGAGAUACUACUUUUUCAAAAAGUCACCCAGGAAUUGAUAGUGUUGAAUGACUCAAUACUCGAUCGUGGACGGUUUCCAGUUCAAGGAUACUUUCUACAGCAGAAUAAUAACACUAGCAAAGAGCUAGUACAAGGAUGGUUUUGUGCUCAACUGAAAUCCAGUUGAAUACAGAAUUGUAUAGGAAACAGUUAAUAUGGUGAUAGAAUAGAAACAGUAGCAAUCGUGAACUAAAUCAUACUAUGAAUGCCUAAACUACUGCUGUAACUUUUGGAAAAAUGAUAAUACCACUUUAUUGCUUUUUGAAGUAUGAAUAUUUUAGUGUAUAUGCUCUAGACUUCAAACUCUAUAAAGAGUCUCAAAGAAGUUGGCUGGAUAAAA
Molecule: long non-coding RNA, 2901 nt
Organism: Homo sapiens (human)
Lineage: Eukaryota; Metazoa; Chordata; Mammalia; Primates; Hominidae
Exons: 2
Source: RefSeq, a predicted model, not a curated record